Molecule: non-coding RNA, 1394 nt
Organism: Rattus norvegicus (Norway rat)
Lineage: Eukaryota; Metazoa; Chordata; Mammalia; Rodentia; Muridae
Source: RefSeq, a predicted model, not a curated record
UCACUGCAGAGCAGCUCUUACCAGGAGGACACUGGCUCUCAGACUGGCUGAGGAGAGCAGUGAAGAGCCCCUACAUUAUAUUUCCCAGUAGCUUUGGUACAACCUGUAGAUUUUGUAUAGGAACCUGAUCUGAAUCCAGGUUAAGCCCACAGCCACUCGUUCAGGAUCAGAAAGUCCACAUCUCCUACUGGCUCCAUGGGUAGUUGAGGAACUAGUAGGAUUAGUUUUGAACCAAGGCCUUUAGGUGCCUGAGGAGUCCCACAUCUUGCAAAGCUUCAGCAGAAGCUGUGGACCGGGGCUCAGGACCAGACCUGACUCUCUGUGAGGCGAGGCCCACAGGCACAUAGGGAGUUCCUCCACUCACAGCAAGAGGCCCAAACGGAUAUACAUGAUACUUGAUCCUCAGAAGAAGACUUGAAUACCAGUCCCACAGAGGGAAACACUUCAGCUCUUCUGUGACUUAGUUACUCUGCACUGAAUAUUGCAAAUGCCACCACUGAAAGCAAAAAGGGGGACUUGAAUUUUAAAAAGAAAAAAUUUUAAAAGGAAGGAAGGAAGGAAGGAAGGAAGGAAGGAAGGAAGGCAGGCAGGCAGGCAGGCAGGCAGGCAGGCAGGCAGGCAGGCAGGCAGGCAGGCAGGCAGGCUGGCUCAGCCAACAAACACCAAAUGCACAGGUGCCAGCAGAGAAACAGGAACAUGAAAAAUGAAGACACCGCAUCUCCUCUACAAAUCACUAUUCCUACAAUAAUGGCACAUACUACAAACAUCCUGAAAAACUUUCAGACAAAGCAUUCAAAAGAAUGAGUAUGUGCAAACAACUCAGAGAAGACGUGAUUAUGUUCUAGAAGGGCAAAAACAGAGAGCUGAACAUCAUUCUAAGACAGGAAAAUGGAGUUCAACAAAGAGACUGGCUGAGGAAAGCACAUGAUGUGGGGAAUAAAGCUCAAUAACCUGAAUUAAAACCUCAGUAGGGGCCUAGCAGUAGAAUGGAUCAUUAAAAAAUUGGGGCAUAGACAACAUAGAGAAACUGCAUCACUCAGUGAAGAGGAACAUGAGUUCUUAGCUCCUGUUCAGUCACACCUGCCUCCCUGCCUCUCAAAUUGUAAUCCCUUUGGUCAUGCUGUCUUAUUACAGCAAAAGAAAAGAAAUUAGGACAGUGUGCCGGCUACUUUUAUUUCAACUUGACACAAACUAAUCAUCAGACAGGAGGGGAGAGUCUCAAUUGAGAAAAUGCCUUCAUAAGACCAUGCUACAGUUUUGAAGCUGAAAAGGACGAAUUCCACCUGAAGCACUAAAGCCGACAUUACUCUGCAGAAUGAACAAGAACAAGCAUCCAUGAUAAAGUGGCAAGAGAUAUCUAGAGAAAUAAAGCGUCAGCAGUUUUCUGGAGAUAA